GAAGCGUCCCGCGCGGCCGCCCGCAGCUUCCCCCUCGGGGAAACACAGCGGGAGGAAAGUCCGAGCUCCACAGGGCAGGGUGCUCCGUAACGCGGAGUCCCGGUGACGGGCAGGAAAGUGCCACAGAAAACAAACCGCCCGCCCAUGGCGGGCAAGGGUGAAACGGUGAGGUAAGAGCUCACCAGUUCCCUGGGAGACCAGGGAAGCUAGGCAAACCCCACCCGGAGCAAGACCAAAUAGGAGGGGCUCCCCGCCCGGUGCGGGGAGAAAAUGGGUGGCCCGCCCAGCCCUCGGGUACGGUCGCUGGAGGGCCCGGGCAACCGGGCCCCUAGAGGAAUGGCCGCGGCCUGCGGCAGGGGGACCUGCCACAGGAACAGAACUCGGCUUACAGGGACGCUUCGGCC
Molecule: RNase P RNA, 404 nt
Filed under: Deltaproteobacteria bacterium
Lineage: Bacteria; Pseudomonadati; Myxococcota; Myxococcia
Description: RNase P RNA component class A
Rfam family: Bacterial RNase P class A
About the family: Ribonuclease P (RNase P) is a ubiquitous endoribonuclease, found in archaea, bacteria and eukarya as well as chloroplasts and mitochondria. Its best characterised activity is the generation of mature 5'-ends of tRNAs by cleaving the 5'-leader elements of precursor-tRNAs.
Source: RNAcentral